GACGAACGCUGGCGGCGUGCUUAACACAUGCAAGUCGAACGGUGAAGCUCCAGCUUGCUGGAGUGGAUCAGUGGCGAACGGGUAAGUAACACGUGAGCAACCUGCCCCUGACUCUGGAAUAAGCGCUGGAAACGGCGUCUAAUACUGGAUACGAGAAGGGCCCGCAUGGGCACUUUCUGGAAAGUUUUUCGGUUGGGGAUGGGCUCGCGGCCUAUCAGCUUGUUGGUGAGGUAAUGGCUCACCAAGGCGACGACGGGUAGCCGGCCUGAGAGGGCGACCGGCCACACUGGGACUGAGACACGGCCCAGACUCCUACGGGAGGCAGCAGUGGGGAAUAUUGCACAAUGGGCGAAAGCCUGAUGCAGCGACGCCGCGUGAGGGAUGACGGCCUUCGGGUUGUAAACCUCUUUCAGCAGGGAAGAAGCGAAAGUGACGGUACCUGCAGAAGAAGCACCGGCUAACUACGUG
RNAcentral lists this ribosomal RNA (468 nucleotides) under uncultured bacterium. RNAcentral describes it as "partial 16S ribosomal RNA". It matches the Rfam family "Bacterial small subunit ribosomal RNA", at positions 28 to 507 of the family's 1533-position model. The record is from RNAcentral.